Molecule: small nucleolar RNA, 134 nt
Filed under: Castor canadensis (American beaver)
Lineage: Eukaryota; Metazoa; Chordata; Mammalia; Rodentia; Castoridae
Source: RNAcentral
GAGGCCCUGAAUCAAGGCCAGCAGUUGGCUGAAGCAGUUGGUUUCAAGGAGUCUAAAGAAAUGUCCAUCUGUAGUCUAUUGACCAUUUCAGAACUUUGUAAAUGUAAUGGCCAGUUCAUUAGGAAGAAACAUCU